This 504-nucleotide ribosomal RNA is filed under the name uncultured Desulfobulbus sp. RNAcentral describes it as "bacterial SSU rRNA". It matches the Rfam family "Bacterial small subunit ribosomal RNA", at positions 884 to 1382 of the family's 1533-position model. The record is from RNAcentral. Lineage: Bacteria; Pseudomonadati; Thermodesulfobacteriota; Desulfobulbia; Desulfobulbales; Desulfobulbaceae.
GCAGCCCGCUCAGAAACUUAAAGGAAUUGACGGGGGCCCGCACAAGCGGUGGAGUAUGUGGUUUAAUUCGAUGCAACGCGAAGAACCUUACCUGGUCUUGACAUCCCGGAGACCCUUAGGAAACUAGGGGGUGCUUCCAUCUGGAAGAAUCUGGAGACAGGUGCUGCAUGGCUGUCGUCAGCUCGUGUCGUGAGAUGUUGGGUUAAGUCCCGCAACGAGCGCAACCCUUGCCUUUAGUUGCCAGCAGUUCGGCUGGGCACUCUAAAGGGACUGCCGGUGUUAAACCGGAGGAAGGUGGGGAUGACGUCAAGUCCUCAUGGCCUUUAUGACCAGGGCUACACACGUACUACAAUGGCCGAUACAAAGGGCAGCGACACUGCGAGGUGAAGCCAAUCCCGUAAAAUCGGUCUCAGUCCGGAUUGGAGUCUGCAACUCGACUCCAUGAAGUUGGAAUCGCUAGUAAUCGUGGAUUCAGCAUGCCACGGUAGAAUACGUUCCGGCCUU